Long non-coding RNA from Gadus morhua (Atlantic cod), 433 nucleotides. The record is from Ensembl. Lineage: Eukaryota; Metazoa; Chordata; Actinopteri; Gadiformes; Gadidae.
AAUAAUGACUGGCAUUCGUAAGUCCCCGGCAGACUUUGCAUCGUCCGAUCAUCCGGAUACGAUUGCCAUGAGGGAUCUGGCCUCCAAGAACUAUCGCAUUUGUGUAGAUGACGUCUACACAAAGGAGCAGAAGAUGGAGCACGCCUACACGAUUGGGGUGAUGGUCUGCAACCAGACCAUACGAUACACGCGAAGAGAAGAGAAGGCGAAGCACACCGAGAAUGUGCACAGGCAGCAGCUUGAGUGCCUGCGGAGGGAGGUCGAACGACUUGGACAGGAUCUCAGGACAUCCCAGGCCAGCUUGUCUGUUACGCAAACAGAUCUGGACGCCACACAGAACGAACUCGUGGCCACGCUGCACGAACGCCUCCCAAGAACUGGACUACCUGGACAGCACGACCGCCUCCCAAGGUAUGACGAUACAUGGUGUUAA